AGGUGAAAUUAAAGUUUAAUUGUAAUAAUAAGAGUUUAUUAAUAAUUUAGAAGCUGUGAAGUUUUAGGGUAAAACCAGGAUUAGAUACCCUGUUAUGCUAUCUUGAAAUUUGGAGACUUGAGUAGUAAGUAGUUAUGUUCUUGAAACUUAAAGAAUUUGGCGGUAUUUAAGUCCAAUUAGAGGAACCUGCACUAUAAACGAUAAACCACGAAUUAUUUUAUUUUAUUUAUAUUAGUUUGUAUAUCGCCAUUAUAAAUAAUGUGUAGAAGUAAUUAUUGAGAUAGAUUAUUUUAGGAUAUUAGGUCAAGGUGCAGCUGAUAGUAAAGGAGCUGUGGGUUACAAUAUAUUUAAUAUAUGAUGAAUAAAUUUAUGAAGUUAGGUUUUGAAGGUGGAUUUAAUAGUAUGAUUAUUUUAAUAAGGCAAUUAGAUGAAGGCUCUUAGAUAUGUACAUAUCGCCCGUCGCUCUCGUUAGUUAAAGUGAGAUA
This 485-nucleotide ribosomal RNA is filed under the name Euryrhynchus amazoniensis. Its description in RNAcentral is "partial small subunit ribosomal RNA". Lineage: Eukaryota; Metazoa; Arthropoda; Malacostraca; Decapoda; Euryrhynchidae. The record is from RNAcentral.